This 253-nucleotide ribosomal RNA is filed under the name uncultured bacterium. Its description in RNAcentral is "partial 16S ribosomal RNA". It matches the Rfam family "Bacterial small subunit ribosomal RNA", at positions 524 to 776 of the family's 1533-position model. The record is from RNAcentral.
UACGUAGGAGACGAGCGUUGUCCGGAAUUACUGGGCGUAAAGGGCGCGUAGGCGGCCUGUUAAGUCGAACGUGAAAUCCCCGGGCUCAACCCGGGAACUGCGUCCGAUACUGGCAGGCUUGAAUCCGGGAGAGGGAUGCGGAAUUCCAGGUGUAGCGGUGAAAUGCGUAGAUAUCUGGAGGAACACCGGUGGCGAAGGCGGCAUCCUGGACCGGUAUUGACGCUGAGGCGCGAAAGCCAGGGGAGCAAACGGG